UACAGUAUAUAUAUAUAUAUAUAUAUAUAUAUAUAUAUAUAUAUAUAUAUAUAUACAUGUAAUACAGGCUUAUCUGUAUGUUUUCUUUAUGGGGGAAAAAGUCACCUUUUACAAUACAAUGAGAGUUUCAAUGCUUAUUUGACCAGUGGUUCAAGAAACUGCAUCAGUUGGUGGUUGACCUCAAUAUUGAAGGAAUUAUGUUCAUAAAUAAACUAUCUCCGCUGGGAUGAAAGCACAACAGUUAGGGUUAUGUGAGGGGAUAGUUGGCUGUUUCUGUUCUCAAAUCAAUAUUUUCUGAAUUCAGCUGAAUUUAUCAGGGAUUUCUUACCUGCUGAUGAUAAGAUUUGGCUUGAAAAAAAAACAUUUGAGAAGAAA
Long non-coding RNA from Etheostoma cragini (Arkansas darter), 375 nucleotides. RefSeq lists it as uncharacterized. Lineage: Eukaryota; Metazoa; Chordata; Actinopteri; Perciformes; Percidae. The record is from RefSeq and is a predicted model, not a curated record. The transcript has 2 exons.